CAGUCGCCGCGGUAAUACGGAGGGAGCUAGCGUUGUUCGGAAUUACUGGGCGUAAAGCGCGCGUAGGCGGUUACUCAAGUCAGAGGUGAAAGCCCGGGGCUCAACCCCGGAACUGCCUUUGAAACUAGGUGACUAGAAUCUUGGAGAGGUCAGUGGAAUUCCGAGUGUAGAGGUGAAAUUCGUAGAUAUUCGGAAGAACACCAGUGGCGAAGGCGACUGACUGGACAAGUAUUGACGCUGAGGUGCGAAAGCGUGGGGAGCAAACAGGAUUUGAUACCCCAGUAGUCCCUGUCUCUUAUAC
This 301-nucleotide ribosomal RNA is filed under the name uncultured bacterium. RNAcentral's name for it is "partial 16S ribosomal RNA". It matches the Rfam family "Bacterial small subunit ribosomal RNA", at positions 509 to 807 of the family's 1533-position model. The record is from RNAcentral.